This 787-nucleotide ribosomal RNA is filed under the name Bacillus subtilis. Its description in RNAcentral is "bacterial SSU rRNA". It matches the Rfam family "Bacterial small subunit ribosomal RNA", at positions 135 to 907 of the family's 1533-position model. The record is from RNAcentral. Lineage: Bacteria; Bacillati; Bacillota; Bacilli; Caryophanales; Bacillaceae.
AGACUGGGAUAACUCCGGGAAACCGGGGCUAAUACCGGAUGCUUGUUUGAACCGCGUGGUUCAAACAUAAAAGGUGGCUUCGGCUACCACUUACAGAUGGACCCGCGGCGCAUUAGCUAGUUGGUGAGGUAAUGGCUCACCAAGGCGACGAUGCGUAGCCGACCUGAGAGGGUGAUCGGCCACACUGGGACUGAGACACGGCCCAGACUCCUACGGGAGGCAGCAGUAGGGAAUCUUCCGCAAUGGACGAAAGUCUGACGGAGCAACGCCGCGUGAGUGAUGAAGGUUUUCGGAUCGUAAAGCUCUGUUGUUAGGGAAGAACAAGUACCGUUCGAAUAGGGCGGUACCUUGACGGUACCUAACCAAAAAGCCACGGCUAACUACUUGCCACCAGCCGCGGUAAUACUUAGGUGGCAAGCGUUGUCCGGAAUUAUUGGGCGUAAAGGGCUCGCAGGCGGUUUCUUAAGUCUGAUGUGAAAGCCCCCGGCUCAACCGGGGAGGGUCAUUGGAAACUGGGGAACUUGAUUGCAGAAGAGGAGAGUGGAAUUCCACGUGUAGCGGUGAAAUGCGUAAAGAUGUGGAGGAACACCAGUGGCGAAGGCGACUCUCUGGUCUGUAACUGACGCUGAGGAGCGAAAGCGUGGGGAGCGAACAGGAUUAGAUACCCUGGUAGUCCACGCCGUAAACGAUGAGUGCUAAGUGUUAGGGGGUUUCCGCCCCUUAUGCUGCAGCUAACGCAUUAAGCACUCCGCCUGGGGAGUACGGUCGCAGAACUGAAACUCAAAGG